CUACAUUUUUCUGACAUUAAAUAAUUAAAAAUUAAACAUAUUAAAAAAAAAAAGAAUAAAAAAAAUCAUCUUCCUACCCCAUCCAAAAUCACAGCCAACAAACCCGUCGUAGCCAUUGCCGCGGCCCACUGUCACCACCUUCAAUUUGCUUCAACUGCGACACCAACUUCAUGGGAUUAGCCUGAAAAAUAUACAUACUCAAGGGCGGGGGAGGGAGGGAGGGGGGGGGCAUAAAUAGUAUAAAUAUGAAAUGGUGAAAAUGUGCACCCCAACAAGAAAUUUCCAAGUUCAGAUUCAAACAAUGGAUUUAUGUUAAAGGAAAAAGAAAUGUCUACAAAUUGAAAACGCAUAACUAUAGAAUUUUGUCAGGAAAAAUAGAGAAAAUACAUGUUCGGGGAAAACUUGCUGGAACUUGUAGUGGACCAUGAAGAAGGUUGCAAUUGGCUUAGAAGAAAAGGUUUAGAAGCCCGUCCACCACUAUUGCUGUUGAUUUUCAAAAUUGCGAUGUCCCAUUUACACGUAUUGUGGUGUUCGAUUUCUUGAUUCUAAUUUGAAUUGGGAGAGCCGAGUUUUGGGGGUUUUGCAGUGAAGUGGAAAAGAGGCUGAUGAUGUGAAUUUAUUCAAAUGCUUACUGCCAAUUUUCCGAAAGAAGCAGACGAUAAUUGGUACAGUUCUCUUGUAUUGAGCUAAUACUAGGAUAAUUGAUAUAGUGAGGAAUAGAAGAAAGUGAAAAGGGAAGAAAGGGUGGGAAAGAAAAUGGUAGCGGAGAUGGUAGUGACCAUGGGUUUGGCUGUGGCCGUGGGCGACAACAGGGUGGGUGAUAUUGAUUUUGGUUUUGGGGAAAGUCUGAAUCUCCAUUGUGCAAAAUAUCC
RNAcentral lists this long non-coding RNA (872 nucleotides) under Olea europaea (common olive). RNAcentral's name for it is "long non-coding RNA (OEUR_LNC013148)". The record is from RNAcentral. Lineage: Eukaryota; Viridiplantae; Streptophyta; Magnoliopsida; Lamiales; Oleaceae.